CUUGCUUAGAUUUUGCAUCUCUUACUGUUGGGGCCAAAAUUAAUCUGCCCUUCCUCAGGGAAGAAUACCUUCUGUACUUCCUCUGGGAAGAAUACUUUCUGUCCUCCAGCUGUCCCUGUUCACGUAGAGCUGCCUGCUGAAAGCCCAUCUUACCCUUGUGAGAUGCAAUUGUUCCCAGGAAAGACACAGACUGUUUAAAUUUGUCUUCGAAGCCUGGUUCACUUAAGAACUUUGGAAAACUGCUGCCCUAAAUCUCACAGCUGGAAGUCAUGGAUGGGGCUGGGAUGGACCCACAGCUGCUUCUUAAAGCAAAUUGUAAAUACCACAGCCCACUUCAAAAUCAAGUCCUGUACAUGCCAGAAGUGGAGCUGGAAAUGCAAACACCAAACCUGGAGAUGACUUUUGAAAACACAGGCCAAAGAGAAUGAAGAAUUUGCCAGAGACAUCCAAGGAAUUUGCAAGACCACCAAGAAUGGGAGCAAGAUAUCUCAAGUGAAAUUUAAAAUGCUUGUCCUAAAUCUCUCCCUGGUAUGACAAUGCACCGCUGAUUCCCUGCUUUCUUUCUUAGGUAUCUCACUCCAGCUUCUUAAAUAUCUUUUAGGAACGUUAAAAAGAAUGCAGGUGCUUCUAUUUAUUAGUAAGAAACUUUCUUAGAAGUUCACAAGAACAAGAAAAGCAAUGUGUGUUCCCAAGCACAGUAAGAUUUCUGAGCAAGCCUUUUUUAUUAUUCAAUUUAAGCACAAGUAAAAUAUAUAGCUGUUUCAGAUUUGGUUCCUCUCUGGAACAUGCCUUGUAGAACAAUGUUUCUCUCCCCCUGUAAUUCUGACUCCACGACACCAGUUUUAUUUGCCAGGCCUGGCAAACAAUGAUCUAUCCAUCCAUGUCAUGCAUAUUAUGUCAAAUUUAUUACGACAGCUUUCCAGCGUAUUUCCAGUCAAGGUUUCAUUCUUCUUACAGAUUCUGCAAAUGAGCAACAGUUUUAGUUACAAAUGCCUCCCCAUGAGGCAGCACUCCUGACAACAGAACGGAACUUACUGUAUUUCUUGCAGAACUGUGACACCCAUACAACCAAUCAUUGUGACACACUGCUGAGGAACACUGUUUUGCUCUGUGGUUGAUAUAUUCCCAACUCAAAAUGAACAGGAGGGAUACUGGGAGUCAUUCAAGCCUUGAUUAGUACUUGACUGGAUCAGGCAUACAUCUUCAUGUCCUGAGAGGAGAAGGCAACCCAAAGAAUCAGCUGCCCACAGCCAAGGCCCUGAGCCUUGGGAGAGGUUUGACCACAGGACAAAGGACAUUUGUGGAGACAUGAAUAUCAAACAUGCACAGAGCAAACCAUGGAGCAGAGAGAGCUGCAAGAUGUUCUUGACAAAUGGUGGCAGUGCUAAUGAGUGUCUGGACUAAACAAUUCUGUUCCCUUCUUGUUGG
RNAcentral lists this long non-coding RNA (1428 nucleotides) under Cyanistes caeruleus (blue tit). RNAcentral's name for it is "lncRNA (ENSCCEG00000021077.1)". Lineage: Eukaryota; Metazoa; Chordata; Aves; Passeriformes; Paridae. The record is from RNAcentral.